This is a non-coding RNA of Podarcis raffonei (Aeolian wall lizard), 447 nucleotides long. Lineage: Eukaryota; Metazoa; Chordata; Lepidosauria; Squamata; Lacertidae. The record is from the annotation of a RefSeq genome assembly.
AUGUCUCCAGUUGGCUCAGUCAGGCAAUGUCCGCAGAGACACUCCUUGUCCCCAAUGAGCUUCCAUCUCCUUCUCGCUUUACUGCUCUCAUCAGGUUCUGCUCUUGAUCAGUCUCAAGACAUGGUCGUCAAGAAAGGGGACAAUGUAACCCUAGACUGUUCCCAAAAAAAUUCCAAUUACAUUAACAUGUACUGGUACAAGCAAGAGCGGAAGACGCAUGCACAGCUUCAGCUGGUGAUUUAUUCAACAGGGACUUCUGAUGUUGAGAAGGAAUUUAAAGACCGUUUCAAGAGCCCUGGAACACAGAAUAAACGGCUGUCUCUGAUCUGUGAGGGAGCUCAGCCAGAAGACACAGGCACCUACUUCUGUGCCAAGCAAGAUCACACAGUGAGACACCAGCUGAGGAAGACAAACACAAUUCUCUUCCCAGGAAACAGGACCACCUGA